This 233-nucleotide ribosomal RNA is filed under the name uncultured bacterium. RNAcentral describes it as "partial 16S ribosomal RNA". It matches the Rfam family "Bacterial small subunit ribosomal RNA", at positions 796 to 1041 of the family's 1533-position model. The record is from RNAcentral.
CACGCCGUAAACGAUGAUGACUAACUAUGGCCGUGAGGCCGUGGUGAAGCUAACGCAUUAAGUCAUCCGCCUGGGAAGUACGGUCGCAAGACUGAAACUUAAAGGAAUUGACGGGUCCCCGCACAAGCAGUGGAGCAUGAGGUUUAAUUCGACGCUACGCGAAGAACCUUACCAGAACUUGACAUGGCGGAUAAUGCUGCAGAAAUGCAGAGAUAAUACCCGCACACAGGUGG